Long non-coding RNA from Betta splendens (Siamese fighting fish), 3446 nucleotides. RefSeq lists it as uncharacterized. NCBI's taxonomy places the organism in Eukaryota, Metazoa, Chordata, Actinopteri, Anabantiformes, Osphronemidae. The transcript has 4 exons. The record is from RefSeq and is a predicted model, not a curated record.
GAGGAGUUGCUGUAUGUUCAAGGAGCUUCGUCCAGUGUUUUGUACGUGUCAGCUCAUCUUAGGAGUCAACCAUGCUUCUGAUACAACCAGUUAUUGUAUUUUGAACCAACUCAUACAACUUUUAUACAAAACUCUUUAAAAACAAAACUAUUCUUUGUGCACAUACAGUAACCUAGGGAAAUUAGACAGAGGUUUAGUUACAAAUAUUUUAUUCAUUUUUUAUUUUAUUAUUUUAUUUUAUUUAUUUUUUUGUAUUCAUGAAACGUAGCGUGUAACACCCACACAGGCAGAUAAAGCUUAGUUUGCUGACCAGACUCUUCUCUUAUAGUUGUUUGGUUCUUAACUCGUGCUUAUUUUCGCUCUUGUCGCAUUUGUGCAAACAAAGCUCAUUGGACCAAUUAGCAGCGCUGCUGUUGUGAUUGACAGAGGGAAGGAGCCAACCAGCUUCGAGAGAAAACAGGUUCAGGUGACGUGCGCGUCAAUCAAAACAUGAUGAAUGGCAGCGUCGAAACUAUCGCACAUUGGCUCCACUCUAUCGUAGAUCGUACAGAACACAAACUGUCGUAUAAAUAUGAUAAUUAUCGUAUAUCUGGCAACACUGUCAACAGUCGCUCGUGCUGCUGCGAAGAUAUCAGGGGACGGACGUGCGUUCUUUGUUGGAAACGAAGCAGUUUGUUCCACGGACACGCAGACAAGCAGCGGCAGACAGCGAGGCAGGCAAACAUCCGAACGCUUUCCUCCGUCAAAGUGCAUGUGGGAAUGCUGUGCUCCUGUGUGUGGACGCUGUGUUGCAUCAGAAGCAGAUCCACCGUCACAACACUUUCCUGCGUUUGAGGACACGUUACAGCCGCCUGUUUGUGGGUCUCUCAGCUCCUGGACUCGUGCGUUAACACCCCUGAAACCCCCUUGAUGGAAGCUUGCUCUGCCGACCACCGAGUGGCUGUCGGGGACCGCAGGCCCAGGCGGACGCCGCCACCUCUGAGCUGCUGCGUCGCUUUGUCGGCAUCGUCCGCCUCCUGCGCCGCUCCUGUAUUCAGCUCCCGUCUCCUCCACUCACUGGAUCAAAGGAACAAACUGGGAGGUAACACAGUAGGCGCACAGACCGACACAUCAGCUUUCAUCUUUACUAAAAAGUUAAAUAUUCAGCCAUUUAAGACAAUUAGCAUUUAGCUCCAGUGUCUCUGGAGCGUCAGAGUGUGUUUUGCUGUUUAUUGACCGUGCUUUAACUUCACUUCCUCAGUUAUACUGUGGAAGAACAGCUGUCACUCGGCCUGACAUCCAAUUUAAUCAUCCUGGUGGCAGCUUGCUGCAGCGGGGGGCACGUUGUCAGAUCUCAGUUUAGAGGACAGCUAUGAAACACUUUAAUUUGUUAUUUAAAGUAGUCUUGUGGUUUGCGCGUGAACUCUUGAUUAAUUCAUUGACUUUGAAGGUUUCGCUUCUUAAGAAGCUACUGGGUUGUAAUUGUCUCCUUUCAUCUGUGGUAAAGAGUCAUAUUUGUGCUGCGUCAGCUCAUUUCGUUGGAGGUUCUUAUAACUCUGUAUUAUCAUUAUCAUCACAGACAAUUGUUCUAACAGGCUGCGCAUUUGUCAAAAGUUGCUUUUUGGAGUUUGCCUGUGAACAUAAUAAGCAUUCGGCCAAUUCGAGCCCUUUAAGUCGUGGGUGAAAAAGACAUUUUCUGUCUAAUGAAUACACAGCAGAGUGUCUGUGAAUGCCUCGGCAGCCUUGAGGUUUACCGGCUAUGCCUGAUUGAUGAUGUUCAAACAGCAGCUGAAAUAGCUGUGAGGGACGUUAUAAAGAGCUCAGAGGGCGAGAGCUGAGUCGGGCUGAUGUGAACCUUCACCCUCCACCUCUUUAGAAUGUCAGCGAGCACACACACACACACGCACACACACACACACACACACUGAGCUCUGUCAGAGUACGUCUCACUUUGUCUCGCACACAGAGACGCUCGGCCUUUGAAGGUCGCGUCGCUAACCUCUAAUGUGCUGCAGGGUCCCAGUAAGUAGCUGCAAACUGUUUUCUUUCAUCUUGAGGAAAAUAAAUGAGGAGACGGGAGAGGAGCGGUGGAAGUUAUCAGCAGGCAGAUUACAUCACAUCUGCAUAUAGGCAGGUUUGUCAGCAAGCUACAUGAACUCCACAGAUAGUCCUGAAUUGAAAUGACAUUUGAUUUAAGUUUUAAAAUGCGAAGACUCAAGAGUCUGACUGUCACGGUAUUUAUCUGAUUACUGAUUAAACAAAUGGACGUGCAUAACUGAUCCAAUACUAAAAUAUCUGAAAUGGGUUUGUUCUCUUCCAAGGAAAUUACUGAGACGUUUGACUGGAGGAAAACAGAGACUAACUCGGCUCCAAACUGAAGCCAUAGAAAUCAUUUUCCAGCCCACUGACGCAGAGCAGAGUUAUGAAGCUCAGCUGAACCUCAUACAGGGAGACUAACUUCGUAGCACUCAUAUUUAUUUGCGCUGCGCUCUCUGUUUGUUUGUCACGUCGGUGCAGGAGUGAUGCAACCUGCUGUUUCCACUAGAAAACAUUGUCCCAAGUCAAAGCGUCCUCACAUAUCGUGCUCAGUAAAUUAAUAAAUGGAAGGAUUCUCUUGUGGAGCUCUGUUUUACGUGUUCACCGGGAUAUUCCCACCUCCUGUCCACUUUCUGUCCAGACCAUUGACUUCUCACCACCGGCCUGUCCUUCCUUCUAGUUUUUCCGGGGUUUGGUGCUCGUCGUCGGGCUCAGGCCCAGCUUUCACCUGGCUGGGACCCUCGCGUGCUCCCUGGAGGUAUGUCGCCUGCAGCACUGGUUUCCUGCUCUCCCACCAGCUGCCCGAGGGUCUGGUCUGACUCCGUUAUCACCACUUGCCAAAGAGCUGUUAACUUCUCAGCCUGGCUUGAGUCGACUGUUUGCUCCCAGUAACCUCUCUGGUCUCAUCUAGAUUCACCAUGUUUGCUGGGUGACCAAGUGGCCGAGUUGACCAAGCUGCAGUUUACAUUCUGUCUCAUCUGGCCUUUUAUCUCCCGCUUCUGUAGCUCUUCAUAUAUUCUACAAAUAUCAUUUGCUCCAUGUCCCUGCAGUUAAAAAGCGGAUGCAGCAGCAUAAUCCUAAUUAUUUAAUUACAUCAAUAUUGGUCACUGCUGGAAUCACUGUUGUAAUUAAGCGUGAUUUGAGGUUCCGGGUGUGUGCAUGAAUUAAUAAUGUGCUAAUCAAAAAGCACUUGGGCUGAUUGCCAGGACAUUAACACCUAGAAAGCGAAUUAACUGUUGUCGGUUUCCAGCUCAGGGAGCACAUCUGCAUCCGCCGGGGUGUUAGUGGUAGGAUGUUUGAAAUCUCACAAUCUUAACAAAUGUAGUGAAGGAAGAGUUUCAUGGUGCCAUGUAGCUGUGGGAGACUCAAACCUACUGGGCAUUAGCAGCCAAGGAGAUGGGAAUUACUUUGCCCAAGCUCUGGGUGGACAC